Molecule: ribosomal RNA, 850 nt
Filed under: uncultured Actinomycetes bacterium
Lineage: Bacteria; Bacillati; Actinomycetota; Actinomycetes
Description: bacterial SSU rRNA
Rfam family: Bacterial small subunit ribosomal RNA
Source: RNAcentral
CAAGUCGAACGGAGAUCCGGGCUUCGGCCCGGGGAUCAGUGGCGAACGGGUGCGUAACACGUGGGCAACCUGCCCCUCACUCUGGGAUAACCCCGGGAAACCGGAGCUAAUACCGGAUACUCCGCGCGGUCCGCAUGGGCCGCUCGGGAAAGGUCCGCCGGUGAGGGAUGGGCCCGCGGCCUAUCAGCUUGUUGGUGAGGUAACGGCUCACCAAGGCGACGACGGGUAGCUGGUCUGAGAGGACGACCAGCCACACUGGGACUGAGAUACGGCCCAGACUCCUACGGGAGGCAGCAGUGGGGAAUCUUGCGCAAUGGGCGAAAGCCUGACGCAGCGACGCCGCGUGGGGGAUGAAGGCCCUCGGGUUGUAAACCCCUUUCGGCAGGGACGAAGCGAUAGUGACGGUACCUGCAGAAGAAGCCUCGGCUAACUACGUGCCAGCAGCCGCGGUAAGACGUAGGAGGCGAGCGUUGUCCGGAUUCAUUGGGCGUAAAGAGCACGCAGGCGGUUUGGCAAGUCGGAUGUGAAAACCCGAAGCUCAACUUCGGGCCUGCAUCCGAAACUGCCCGACUAGAGGUAGGUAGGGGAGAUCGGAAUUCCUGGUGUAGCGGUGAAAUGCGCAGAUAUCAGGAGGAACACCGGUGGCGAAGGCGGAUCUCUGGGCCUUACCUGACGCUCAGGUGCGAAAGCUAGGGGAGCGAACAGGAUUAGAUACCCUGGUAGUCCUAGCCGUAAACGUUGGGUGCUAGGUGUGGGCGGUCAUCAACCCCGUCCGUGCCGAAGCUAACGCAUUAAGCACCCCGCCUGGGGAGUACGGCCGCAAGGCUAAAACUCAAAGGAAUUGACGGGG